GGGGAAUAUUGGACAAUGGGCGCAAGCCUGAUCCAGCCAUGCCGCGUGAGUGAUGAAGGUCUUAGGAUUGUAAAGCUCUUUCACCGGUGAAGAUAAUGACGGUAACCGGAGAAGAAGCCCCGGCUAACUUCGUGCCAGCAGCCGCGGUAAUACGAAGGGGGCUAGCGUUGUUCGGAAUUACUGGGCGUAAAGCGCAUGUAGGCGGAUAUUUAAGUCAGGGGUGAAAUCCCGCAGCCCAACUGCGGAACUGCCUUUGAUACUGGGUAUCUUGAGUAUGGAAGAGGUGAGUGGAAUUCCGAGUGUAGAGGUGAAAUUCGUAGAUAUUCGGAGGAACACCAGUGGCGAAGGCGGCUCACUGGUCCAUUAUUGACGCUGAGGUGCGAAAGCGUGGGGAGCAAAC
This 400-nucleotide ribosomal RNA is filed under the name uncultured bacterium. RNAcentral's name for it is "bacterial SSU rRNA". It matches the Rfam family "Bacterial small subunit ribosomal RNA", at positions 356 to 773 of the family's 1533-position model. The record is from RNAcentral.